GCUUAUUUCAAAUUGGUGUUUUUGGGGUUAGAAUGCACAUUCAACCAAAAAUCGCAGAGUGAAAUGUUUUUCAGCCCAAAUCAAGCAUAGGUCUUUUGGUUCCACCUCAAUAGAAGGAGGACGAAAAAACUUGGAUUGCACUUUCGGUGUUCAUUCACCCACAAAUAACAAAGCGAAGUGUCAUAAGCCUAAACAAAGCAAAACAGAUUAUUUUGGGUUCCAUCUACAUAGAAAGAAGAAUCUUGGAUUUCACUUAUUUCAAAAUCAUGUUGUUUGGUGUUAAUGCACAUUUACCGAGAAAUCGCAAAGUGUAUGUAAUGAGACCAAAAUAACAAAUCACCAUCUUUCCGCUUCCAUAGCGUAGAAAGAAGAAGAAUAAGCUUCGAUUGGGCUUAUUUCAAAUCGCAUGGUGUUUUUUGGGUGUGCACCAGAAUCCCCCCAACCAAAGCAAAAAGGUGUUUUUGCCUCCAUCUACAUAAAAAGAAGUUGAUAACGCUCUGAUUGGGCUUAUUUCAAAUUGGUGUUUUUGGGGUUAGAAUGCACAUUCACCCAAAAAUCGUAGAGUGAAAUGUGCGUUAUAAGCCCAAAUCAAGCAUAGGUGUUUUGGUUCCAUCUCAAUAGAAGGGACAACUAAGCUUCAGGUGCACUUUCGGUGUUCAUUCACCCACAAAUAACAAAGCGAAGUGUCAUAAGCCUAAACAAAGCAAAACAGAUUAUUUUGGGUUCCAUCUACAUAGAAAGAAGAAUCUUGUAUUUCACUUCUUUCAAAGUCGUGUUCUAUGGUUUUAAUGCCCAUUCACCCAGACAUCGCAAAGUGUAUGGAAUGAGACCAAAAUAACAAAACACCAUCUUUCAGCUUCCAUUGCAUAGAAAGAAGAAGAAUAAGCUUCGAUUGGGCUUAUUUCAAUUCGCAUGGUGUUUUUUGGGUGUGCAGCAGAAUCACUCCAACCAAAGGAAAAGGUGUUUUGGCUUCCAUCUACAUAAAAAGAAGAUGAUAACGCUCUGAUUGGGCUUAUUUCAAAUUGGUGUUUUUGGGGUUAGAAUGCACAUUCACCCAUAAAUCGCAGAGGGAAAUUUGUUAUCAGCACAAAUCAAACAUAGGUGUUUUGAUUCAAUCUCUAUAAAAAGAGGAGGAAUAAGCUUCGAUUGCUCUUUCGGUGUUCAUUCACCCACAAGAUCAAAGCGGUGUCAUAAGCCUAAACAAGAGAAAACAGGUUAUUUUCGGUUCCAUCUACAUAGAAUGAAGAAUCUUGCAUUUCGCUUAUUUCAAAGACGUGUUCUUUUGUGUUAAUGCACAUUUACCCAGAAAUCGCAAAGUGUAUGUAAUGAGACGAAAAUAACAAAACACCGUAUUUCCGCUUACAUAUGCGUAGAAAGAAGAAGAAUAAGCUUCGAUUGGGCUUAUUUCGAUUGGGGUUAGAAUGCACAUUCACCCAAAAUCGUAGAGUGAAAUGUGCGUUAUAAGCCCAAAUCAAGCAUAGGUGUUUUGAUUCGAUCUCUAUAGAAAGAGGAGGAAUAAGGUUGGAUUGCACUUUCGGUGUUCAUUCACCCACAAAUAUCAAAGCGAAGUGUCAUAAGCCUAAAGAAGACAAAACAGGUUAUUUUGGGUUCCAUCUACAUAGAAAGAAGAGUCUUGCAUUUCGCUUAUUUCAAAGGCGUGUUCAUUGGUGUUAAUGCACAUAUACCCAGAAAUCGCAAAGUGUAUGUAAUGAGACCAAAAUAAAAAAAACACCAUAUUUCCUCUUCCAUAUGCGUAGAAAGAAGACGAAGAAGCUUCGAUUGGGCUUAUUUCAAUUCGCAUGGUGUUUUUUGGGUGCGCACCAGAAUCACCCGAACCCAAGCAAAAAGGUGUUUUGGCUUCCAGCUACAUAAAAAGAAGAUAAUAACACUCUGAUUGGGCUUAUUUCAAAUUGGUGUUUUGGGGUUUAGAAUGCACAUUCACCCAAAAAUCGUAGAGUGAAAUGUGCGUUAUAAGCCCAAAUCCAGCAUAGGUGUUUUGGUUCCAUCUCAACAGAAAGAGGACAACUAAGCUUGGGUUGCACUUUUAGUCUUCAUUCACCCACAAAUAACAAAGCGAAGUGUAAUAAGCCUAAAAUUCGCCUAAACAAAGCAAAACAGGUUAUUUUGUCUUCCAUCUACAUAAAAAGAAGACGAUAACGCUCCAGUUGGGCUUACUUCAAAUUGGUGUUUUUGGGGUUAGAAUGCACAUUCAACCAAAAAUCGCAGAAUGAAAUGUUUUUCAGCCCAAAUCAAGCAUAGGUGUUUUGGUUCCAUCUCAAUAGAAGGAGGACGAAUAAGCUUGGAUUGCACUUUCGGUGUUCAUUCACCCACAAAUAACAAAUCAACGUGUAAUAAGCCUAAACAAAGCUAAACAGGUUGUUUUGAGUUCCAUCUACACAGAAAGAGGCAUCUUGGAUUUCGCUUAUUUCAAAGUCGUGUUCUUUGGUUUUAAUGCACAUUGACCCAGAAAUCGCAAAGUGUAUGUAAUGAGACCAAAAUAACGAAACACCAUAUUUCCGCUUCCAUAUGCGUAGAAAGAAGAAUAAUAAGCUUUGAUUGGGCUUAUUUCAAUACACAGGGUGUUUUUUGGUGUGCACCAGAAUCACCCUCAACCAAAGAAAAAGGUCUCUUGGCUUCCAUCUACAUAAAAAGAAGGUGAUAACGCUCUGAUUUGGUUUAUUUCAAAUUGGUGUUUUUGGGGUUAGAAUGCACAUUCACCCAAAAAUCGCAGAGUGACAUGUUUCUUAUCAGCCCAAACGAAGCACAGGUGUUUUGGUUCCAUCUCAAUAGAAAGAGGACGAAUAAUUUUGGAUUGUUCUUUCGGUGUUCAUUCACAAAUAGCAAAUCGAAUUGUAAUAAGCCUAAACAAAGCCAAACAGGUUGUUUUGGGUUGCAGCAACAUAGAAAGAAGAAUCUUGGAUUUUGCUUAUUUCGUGUUCUUUGGUGUUAAUGCACAUUGACCCAGUAAUCGCAAAGUGUGUGUAAUGAGACCAAAAUAAAACAACACCGUCUUUUCGCUUCCAUACGCGUAGAAAGAAGACAAAUAAGUUUUGAUUGUGCUUAUUUCAAUUCGCAUGGGGUUUUAUAGGUGUGCACCAGAAUCACCCCCAACCAAAGCAAAAAAGUCUUUUGGGUUCUAUCUACAUAAAAAGAAGAUGAUAAAGCUCUGAUUGGGCUUAUUUCAAAUUGAUGUUUUUGGGCUUAGAAUCCACAUUCACCCAAAAAUUGCAGAGUGACUUGUUUAUUAUCAGACCAAACCAAGCAUAGGUGUUUUGGUUCCAUCUCAAUAGAAAGAGGAAUAAGCUUUCAUUGUUCUUUCGGUGUUCAAUCCCCCACAAAUAGCAAAGCGAAGUGUAAUAAGCCUAAACAAAGCCAAACAGGUUGUUUUGGGUUGCAGCAACAUAGAAAGAAGAAUCUUGGAUUUUGCUUAUUUCGUGUUCUUUGGUGUUAAUGCACAUUGACCCAGAAAUCUCAAAGUGUGUGUAAUGAGACCAAAAUAACACAACAUUGUCUUUUCGCUUCCCUAUGCCUAGAAAGAAGACAAAUAAGCUUUGAUUGUGCUUAUUUCAAUUCGCAUGGGGUUUUAUGGGUGUGCACCAGAAUCACCCCUAACGAAAGCAAAAAGGUCUUUUGGGUUCCAUCUACAUAAAAAGAAGAUGAUAAAGCUCUGAUUGGGCUUAUUUCAAAUUGGUGUUUUGGGGGUUAGAAUGCACAUUAACCCAAAAAUCGCAGAGUGACAUGUUUAUUAUCAGACCAAACCAAGCAUAGGUAUUUUGGUUCCAUCUCAAUAGAAAGAGGACGAAUAAACUUGCAUUGUUCUUUCGGUGUUCAGUCCCCCACAAAUAGCAAAGCAAAGUGUAAUAAGCCUAAACAAAGCCAAACAGGUUGUUUUGGGUUGCAGCAACAUAGAAAGAAGAAUCUUGGAUUUUGCUUAUUUCGUGUUCUUUGGUGUUAAUCCACAUUGACCCAGAAAUCUCAAAGUGUGUGUAAUGAGAUCAAAAUAACACAACACCGUCUUUGGAGCUCCCGGCAGCUGAAGGGGAGAUUGUGUGCGACUCCUCUCUGGUAUGCUAUAAUUUGUGUUUUGUAUGCCUGCUGCUAUCUGUUAACCUUAUGCAAAUAAAGCAUUGCUUGUUCUUCAUCCACUGGCGUGCUUAUUGGCUCCAGAUCCAGAAAUAACCCUGCCCUUGGCAGAACAUAUACAGCGCUUUUUUUCUGGGGGGGACGCAGGGGAAUGGAUACUCCUAAAACAUUUUGUGAAUGUACUUUGGUCCAUUUACUGUAUUUAUUUUUCCCGGUUUGAACUAUAAAAUGGUGAUUUUCUUGAGUCAAAAUGAGAGUAUCCCCAGUCACUUUUUUUAGAAAAGAAGUACUGCAUAGAUACACACACACAUAUACAUAUAUCCAUUUUAUUUUUAUAUAUUUACAAACGGACACCUAUAUCUAGGUAUGUAUAUUCUUGUAUAUAAACUUCCGCGGCCCACCCGCACCAUCCUACCGCAAAGGGGCACGAGAGGAAGGCCACUGGGGGGAAAGGCAGGUGAGGACGAGGCGGGGGGCAGGGCUGCACCCUGGGAGAGCGGGGUCGACAGAGAGAGUGGGUGGGAGAAAGAGAGAGGGCCAGCCUCGCUCGGCACGUCUCUGCUGGCCCAACGUCGCAGCGCCUCUUCCGCCUAUUUCCCUCCCCUUCCUGUGCUCAUGCCUCUCCUCCGGUGGCACGUCCUUCCGGUACCCCUGCCCUCGCGCAACAUGGCGGCAGCACAGCCUCUUCCGCCCAUUUCCCUCCCCUUCCUGUGCUCAUGCCUCUCCUCCGGUGGCACGUCCUUCCGGUACCCCUGCCCUCGCGCAACAUGGCGGCAGCACAGCCUCUACCGCCCAUUUCCCUCCCCUACCCUUCCUGUCCUCUUGCCUCUCCUCCGGUGGCACCUCCUUCCGGGUACCCCCUGCUCUUGCCCAACAUGGCGGCAGCACAGCCUCUUCCGCCCUUCCCCCACCCCUUCCUGUCCUCUCGCCUCUCCUCCGGUGGCACCUCCUUCCGGUACCCCCUGCCCUCGCCCAACAUGGCGGCAGCACAGCCUCUUCCGCCCAUUUCCCUCCCCUUCCUGUCCUCUUGCCUCUCCUCCGGUGGCACCUCCUUCCGGUACCCCCUGCCCUCGCCCAACAUGGCGGCAGCACAGCCUCUUCCGCCCUUCCCCCACCCCUUCCUGUCCUCUUGCCUCUCCUCCGGUGGCACCUCCUUCCGGUACCCCCUGCCCUCGCGCAACAUGGCGGCAGCACAGCCUCUUCCGCCCUUCCGAGCUAGGAGUGCAGAAAAAGGUGAAACUGCCAUGAAAAGGAGAGGAGGAGUGUGUGAGUGAGUGAGUGAGAGUGAGACAGGGAGCAUCCUAGUAGAGAUGGAAGGGGAACCCAAGGGUCAUCUAGUCCAACCCUCUGCAAAGAAGCUCAGAGCUACAAUUCCCAGGUCUUCUUUGGGAAUUCUAUGGGAAGUAAGAGUUUCCAUAUUCAUGAGCAUUCACUUAGAGUGCGCUCAUGUUUUUACCUUUUAUUGAAAGCGGUCACAAGUGACUUGGGUGGAGUAUAAAUAAUAAAAUUAUAUUGCUCCUGCUGCUGUUCUCUUAGCCUAACUCAAAUCCAACCCAAUACCAAACCUUAAUCCUAAUGCUCACCCUAACUCAAACCUAAUCCUCACUCUAACCCUAACCUUAACCCAAACCUAAGCCUCAGUCUAAACCUAAACCUAAUUUAACCCUAACCUUAAGUAAUAAAAUUAUAUUUCUUCUGCUGCUGUUCUUCUCUUACCGUAACUCAACCCCAACUCUAACUCCUAAUCCUAAUCCAACUCAAACCCAGCUCUCACUGUAACCCUAACCUUUACCCAAACCUAAUCCUAAACGCUUUGCUUCUUUUUGUGGUGUUUUGUGUUAUUGCUUCAUUUCGUAGGUUAUGAGGCUUUCUUUGUUUCUUGUGGUGUUGCUUCAUUUAGCAGUUUUUAAUUGGCUUUUGUGUUUCUUUUGGUAUUGCAUCAUCUUCAUAGGUUGUUUGGAUUUCUGAUUAAUUUGCUUUGGAUUUCUGGUAGCUCUGCUUCUUUAUGAUUUGUUUCUGUGUUUCUGGUGUUUUGGCUUGGUUAUGUCAUAAAAUUGAAGAAAUACCACCAGAAGCACAAAAACCAAGAAAUAUUCCUAAAAUGAGGCAAAACCAGGAGACAUGAAAACCAAGCCAAAUCAAUGGAAAAGAAACAAUCUCACCCAAAACCGCAGAACCAUUCAAAGUAAAAGAAUCAAAACAAUUAAAUGCAAAAAAACAAGCAAAACCACCCCAAAUUAAACAAAUCAGCAGAAAACAAAAAAGAAGCAGUAAAGCCACCAAUUACAAAGCAAUGCCACAAGAAACUGGAAACCAGUUUUUAAAAAGCAAAACCAGAAACUCAACAGGCAUGCAAUUUAUGGGAGUCCAAAAGCACUUCAAGCAACAGAAAUUAACCAACAUAGCAUACUAGUUUUCACAUAGUCUUGGGUUUCUGGUGAAUGUGCUUCGUUUGCAGCUGGCUUCAUUUCUUUUCCAUUGGUUUAGCUUGUUUUUUGGACUUUUGCCUUAUUGCUUCUUUUGAGAAGUUUUCUUGUUUUUGCAUUCUGGUGGUAAUACUUUUGAAUGCUUUGGGGGUUUCUGGUGAAUCUGCUUUGUUUGGGAUUGGUUGGCUUCUUUGUCAGUUUCCAUUGAUGUUGCUUUUACAUGGUUCUUCUGCUUCUUUUCAGUAGGUUUAUGUGUUUUUAGUGGUUGACUUCAUUGUUGGAAUGGUCAUUAGACAUUUCUGGUGGUUUUCCUUCAUUUCUGGUGGUUUUCCUUUUUUUCUUGGGAUUAUCAGAUCUCAUACAAAUUAAUAUUCUCAAAGGUGCAAAACCCAAAAAACCUAGAAAUGAAGCAAACUCACCAUAAAUCCAGCACCCAAUCUGUUAUGUACUAACCUUGGACCCUAGAAUGCAACAACUGAUUGGUCUUUUCCUGCAGGCCAAUCAGGCUCCAAGAGGGAAGCAGAGUUAGCCAGUCAGACGGGACUCAUUGUGUAAAUAAUGUAUAUAAAAGCCUGAGGUUGGGGGGGGGGCAAUAAAGAGCAUGAAAUACAUACAAGACUCUGAGUAUAUUUCACAAUCAUAAUUUAUAUAAAAGAAUCUAUGAAAUGAAAACCACAGAAAAAAUUCAACAUAAUCCCCAAAACAAACCAGAAACAACAGAAACAAACCACAUCCACCAAAGAUGAGAAAACCAAUUGAAUAGAACCACAAGAAACCCACGCAGUAAACAUCUCAGGGAAAGGCGAAAUCACCCCCACACCAUGCAAAACUAAGGUUUAACUGGCUUUGGGGUUUCUGCGCAAUUUACCUUUUCACUCUUGUUGGGGGUUUCUGGUGGUAUUUCUUCUGCUUCUCACAUUUCUGCUUCUUUUCAAUUGGUUUUGGGAUUCUGGUGAAUUUGGAUAUGAUUUGAUUGAAGUCUCUGUCUGGCAAUUUUCCUUUUCAUGAAUUCCUUCCUUGUUGGGUUUCUGGUAUCUCACUUUUGGUUUUCACAUUUCUCUUAGUUUUGCUACGUUUCAGGUAGUUUGCUGAUUGUUUGGAAUUAUCCAGUCUCAUAAAAAUGAAGCAAUAUCAUUAGAAGCUUAAAAAGCAUGAAAAAAACCCCAGGCACUAACCCUAACCCUGAACAUCCACCUAUCCCCUGCCCUAACCCUGAUAUUCUGGUCAUCCAUCUUGGGGAUAACAAUCUGGUGAGGUAAAUUCAGUUGAGAUCACUAAAUAUCUCCAUCAGCUGUGCUUCCUCAUCCCUGAGCUUAUCAUAGUUUGGUUUGGAAUGUUGUAGAGGUGCUUAUGGAGUGGGGGCAGCCUUCCUAAGAAGGUGGAUGGGCAAGACAUAAAGCUAAUCAUUCUACGACGACGUUUGUGUUUGAAAAUGUGGCUGCUUAUAUCCCUCAUGGCAGAAUUAUGUUCUGUGCCCCACAGUUGUAUAGACCUGGUGGUAUGCAUCUUUCUGAUUUGGGUUGUGACAUGAUUCUUAAGGAUCUGCAAAGAGCUCUGUUUGAGCACUUGUGUGUUUGUGGGUGGAGGUGAACAAGCACACCUGCCCAGACUUAAUUUGAUUUGGUUACAUUGGUCGAAUCUGACUAGUUUUGCCGAUCCUCAAGUUGUUAUAUUUAAUAAAUACAACCUAUUUAUCCACUUUUGGUUGUCUUGACUCUUCCUCCUGAUGUGCUAGGAACCACUCCGUUUGGGGGGCACUGCAAAACAUGUGCACCAGAAUCACCCCAACCCAAGCAAAAAGGUGUUUUGGCUUCCAUCUACAUAAAAAGAAGAUAAUAACGCUCUGAUUGGGCUUAUUUCAAAUUGGUGUUUUUGGGUUUAGAAUGCACAUUCACCCAAAAAUCGAAAAGUGAAAUGUGCGUUAUAAGCCCAAUUCAAGCAUAGGUGUUUUGGUUCCAUCUCAAUAGAAGGAGGACGAAUAAGCUUGGAUUCCACUUUCGGUGUUCAUUCACCCACAAAUAACAGAGCGAAGUGUAAUAAGCCUAAACAAAGCAAAACAGCUUGUUUUGAGUUCCAUCUACAUAGAAAGAGGCAUCUUGGGUUUCGCUAAUUUAAAAGUCGUGUUCUUUGGUUUUAAUGCACAUUGACCCAGAAAUCACAAAGUGUAUGUAAUGAGACCAAAAUAACGAAACACCAUAUUUCCGCUUCCAUAUGCGUAGAAGGAAGACGAAUAAGCUUUGAUUGGGCUUAUUUCAAUUACCAGGGUGUUUUUUGGUGUGCACCAGAAUCACCCUCAACCAAAGCAAAAAGGUGUCUUGGGUUCCAUCUACAUAAAAAGAAGAUGAUAACGCUCUGAUUGGGCUUAUUUCAAAUUGGUGUUUUGGGGUUUUGAAUGCACAUUCACCCAAAAAUCGUAGAGUGAAAUGUGCGUUAUAUGCCCAAAUCAAGCAUAAGUGUUUUGGUUCCAUCUCAAUAGAAAGAGGACAACUAAGCUUGGAUUGCACUUUCAGUGUUCAUUCAACCACAAAUGACAAUGCGAAGUGUAAUAAGCCUAAACAAAGCAAAACAGGUUGUUUUGAGUUCCAUCUACAUAGAAAGAGGCAUCUUGGAUUUCACUUAUUUCAAAGUCGUGUUCUUUGGUUUUAAUGCACAUUGACCCAGAAAUCGCAAAUUGUAUGUAAUGAGACCAAAAUAACAAAACACCAUCUUUCCGCUUCCAUAGCAUAGAAAGAAGAAGAAUAAGCUUCGAUUGGGCUCAUUUCAAUUCGCAUGGUGUUUUUUAUGUGUGCACCAGAAUCACCCCAACCAAAGCAAAAAGGUGUUUUGGCUUCGAGCUACAUAAAAAGAAGAUAAUAACACUCUGAUUGGGCUUAUUUCAAAUUGGUGUUUUUGGGGUUAGAAUGCACAUGCACCCAAAAAUCGCAGAGGGAAAUUUUUUAUCAGCACAAAUCAAACAUAGGUGUUUUGAUUCGAUCUCUAUAGAAAGAGGAGGAAUAAGCUUGGAUUGCUCUUUAAGUGUUCAUUCACCCACAGAUAUAAAAUGAAGUGUAAUAAGUCUAAACAAAGCAAAACAGGUUAUUUUGGAUACCAUCUACAUAGAAAGAAGAAUCUUGCAUUUCGCUUAUUUCAAAGUCGUGUUCUUUGGUGUUAAUGCACAUUUACCCAGAAAUCGCAAAGUAUGUAAUGAGACCAAAAUAACAAAACACCAUAUUUCCACUUCCAUAUGCAUAGAAAUAAGACGAAUAAGCUUAUUUCAAUUCGCAUGGUGUUUUUUGGGUGUGCACCAGAAUCACCCCAACCAAAGCAAAAAGGUGUUUUGGCUUCCAGCUACAUAAAAAGAAGAUAAUAACACUCUGAUUGGGCUUAUUUCAAAUUGGUGUUUUGGGGUUUAGAAUGCACAUUCACCCAAAAAUCGUAGAGUGAAAUGUGCAUUAUAAGCCCAAUUCAAGCAUAGGUGUUUUGGUUCCAUCUCAAUAGAAAGAGGACAACUAAGCUUGGGUUGCACUUUUAGUGUUCAUUCACCCACAAAUAAAGCGAAGUGUAAUAAGCCUAAAAUUCGCCUAAACAAAGCAAAACAGGUUAUUUUGUCUUCCAUCUACAUAAAAAGAAGAUGAUAACGCUCCAGUUGGGCUUACUUCAAAUUGGUGUUUUUGGGGUUAGAAUGCACAUUCAACCAAAAAUCGCAGAGUGAAACGUUUUUCAGCCCAAAUCAAGCAUAGGUGUUUUGGUUCCAUCUCAAUAGAAGGAGGACGAAUAAGCUUGGAUUGCACUUUCGGUGUUCAUUCACCCACAAAUAACAAAUCAACGUGUAAUAAGCCUAAACAAAGCUAAACAGGUUGUUUUGAGUUCCAUCUACACAGAAAGAGGCAUCUUGGAUUUCGCUUAUUUCAAAGUCGUGUUCUUUGGUUUUAAUGCACAUUGACCCAGAAAUCGCAAAGUGUAUGUAAUGAGACCAAAAUAACGAAACACCAUAUUUCCCCUUCCAUAUGCGUAGAAAGAAGAAUAAUAAGCUUUGAUUGGGCUUAUUUCAAUACACAGGGUGUUUUUUGGGUGUGCACCAGAAUCAACCUCAACCAAAGAAAAAGGUCUCUUGGCUUCCAUCUACAUAAAAAGAAGAUGAUAACGCUCUGAUUUGGUUUAUUUCAAAUUGGUGUUUUUGGGGUUAGAAUGCACAUUCACCCAAAAAUCGCAGAGGGAAAUUUGUUAUCAGCACAAGUCAAGGAUAGGUGUUUUGAAUCGAUCUCUAUAGAAAGAGGAGGAAUAAGCUUGGAUUGCUCUUUCGGUGUUCAUUCACCCACAAAUAUCAAAGCGACGUGUCAUAAGCCUAAACAAAUUAAAACAGGUUAUUUUGGGUUCCAUCUACAUAGAAAGAAGAAUCUUGGAUGUCGCUUAUUUCAAAGUCGUGUUCUUUGGUGUUAAUGCACAUUUACCCACAAAUCGUAAAGUGUAUGUAAUGAGACCAAAAUAACAAAACACCAUCUUUCCGCUUCCAUAGCGUAGAAAGAAGAAGAAUAAGCUUCGAUUGGGCUUAUUUCAAUUCGCAUGGUGUUUUCUGGUGUGCACCAGAAUCACCCCAACCCAAGCAAAAAGGUGUUUUGGCUUCCAUCUACAUAAAAAGAAGAUAAUAACGCUCUGAUUGGGCUCAUUUCAAAUUGGUGUUUUUGGGUUUAGAAUGCACAUUCACCCAAAAAUCGAAAAGUGAAAUGUGCGUUAUAAGCCCAAUUCAAGCAUAGGUGUUUUGGUUCCAUCUCAAUAGAAGGAGGACGAAUAAGCUUGGAUUGCACUUUCGGUGUUCAUUCACCCACAAAUAACAGAGCGAAGUGUAAUAAGCCUAAACAAAGCAAAACAGGUUAUUUUGGGUUCCAUCUACAUAGAAAGAAGAAUCUUGGAUUUCACUUAUUUCAAAGUCGUUUUCUUUGGUUUUCAUGCACAUUGACCCAGAAAUCGCAAAGUGUAUUUAAUGAGACCAAAAUAACAAAACACCAUCUUUCCGCUUCCAUAGUGUAGAAAGAAGAAGAAUAAGCUUCGAUUGGGCUUAUUUCAAUUCGCAUGGUGUUUUUUGGGUGUGCAGCAGAAUCACCCCAACCAAAGCAAAAAGGUGUUUUGGCUUCCAUCUACAUAAAAAGAAGAUGAUAACGCUCUGAUUGGGCUUAUUUCAAAUUGGUGUUUUUGGGUUUAGAAUGCACAUUCACCCAAAAAUCGAAAAGUGAAAUGUGCGUUAUAAGCCCAAUUCAAGCAUAGGUGUUUUGGUUCCAUCUCAAUAGAAGGAGGACCUUUUGCAUCGGAGUUCCAGUCCUUCGCAACCAGACAACAUGAGCUCUCGGGUCAUCGCAGCUGUCUGCUGUGGGGAGACCGCGUUGUGAUUCCCCAAAGACUCCGUCAACGCGUCCUUCAGGCUCUGCACGUUGGCCACCCAGGAAUUGUCAAAAUGAAGGUGUUGGCUCGGUGUUACGUCUUUUGGCCCAACAUGGACGAUGCCAUCACUGCCUGGGUUUCCACCUGUCAAGCGUGCCAAGUAUUGAGGCCACCGACAGCUAAGGGACACACCUGGGAGACGCCCAAGACACCCUGGUUGAGGGUGCACAUCGAUCUGGACAGCCCCUUUCGUGGCCGGACCUUUAUGGUAGUGGUGGACGCCUAUUCCAAAUGGCUGGAGGUGGCCCUGAUGCCCUCCAUCACUACCGAGGCCGUCAUCUGGGUGCUGCGAGGCCUCUUUGCAACGCAUAGGUGUCCUGAUGUCCUUGUCUCCGACAACGGACCACAGUUCACGUCAGGCACUUUUGAGCGGUACCUUUUGGGACUGGGCAUCCGCCAUGCCCUAACAGCACCAUUUCAUCCAUCCAGCAACGGGCAAGCGGAGAGAAUGGUGCGCUCGGCAAAAGAGGCACUGGGAUGCCUGGACCGGGGAGACUGGCACAAGCAGGUCGCCAAAUACUUGUUCGUGGAACACAUCACCCCUCAUGCGGCCACAGGGCGGAGUCCUGCCGAACUGCUUAUGGGCUGCCGCCUCAGGUCCCCGCUCGACCGGCUGCACCCGGACUUUGCCGUGGCUGAACCCCCAGGCUGUGCCAACGCACCACGGUCAUUUGUUCCAGGAAACCAGGUAUUUGCCCGGAACUUUGUGGGGGACAUUCCUUGGGUGCCAGCCACAGUAGUGGGAGUCACUGGACCUCGCUCGUACCAGGUGGCACUCGAAAAUGGAGGUUUGUGGCGCUGGCACAUAGACCAGCUUAGGCGCAGGGUUGGGGACUUGGACACUACCGUGGUGCCCCCAACUGUGCUCGUGGCUCCGGAACAGACACUUACAGAUGGUGAGGCUCCACCUACACCUCUCUCGCAAACUGCCGGCGUGGAGCCGAACCACUGCCAUCCCUGUCAUUCCGCCAACUCCACUUGCGGAUGUUCCACCCACAGCAGCGGAUCCAGGGGACUUGGUUUCAAUGCCACCUAGGGUCGUGCCACAGCCUCAGCAAGAAUCGGGCAGCCCACCGGACCUGGGUACCGCUCCCCGGCAGUCUGGCAGAGUUUCCAAGCGCUCAACUUAUUUAAAGGACUAUGUUGUUGGACAUGUAACACUGUUGGUCUAAGUAUGUGGAAGUAUGUGAAAUGUAACCGAUAUGCUUUUGUGCCUAAUUGAACCAUUACGUGUAGUGCUGUAUAUAAGGAAACCAUUACGAUUGUAACUAACGCCUUAUCUCGGUGGGGAGGGGUGUUAUGUACUGAAGUUCUCACCCUGGGCCAGCAGGGGGAUACUGUAGAUAGUUAUGCAAAUGAAGGAUCGAAAGUGACAUUCAGUGAUUGGAUAGUUUUAGAAAGUUGUUACAGUAUUCAGUUAUGUCCUGGCCUGUGAAUAAACAAGAGCUGUUUGAAGAA
This 13382-nucleotide long non-coding RNA is filed under the name Podarcis lilfordi (Lilford's wall lizard). The record is from RNAcentral. Lineage: Eukaryota; Metazoa; Chordata; Lepidosauria; Squamata; Lacertidae.